Molecule: long non-coding RNA, 413 nt
Filed under: Musa acuminata (dwarf banana)
Lineage: Eukaryota; Viridiplantae; Streptophyta; Magnoliopsida; Zingiberales; Musaceae
Description: long non-coding RNA (MACU_LNC009368)
Source: RNAcentral
GCAUGCAUUGGUUGGCUAUGCUAACCCACAAACUAUAAAAAUCGGAGGAACUUUGAAGCAUCAACCUGUCACUAUUUUGAUUGAUACAGAUAGCACUAAUAAUUUUAUGGAUAGGAAAGUUGCAACCUAAUUAGCCCACCACAUUGAAGGUUGUGAUAUAUUCGAAGCUGAUGGACGGAUCUUAACUUAUGAUAGCAAAGGCCAAGAAUUUCUUACAACGAUUACUACACUGAAAGAUCGACCUAUUGCUUACACUGUCAAAAAGUGGAGAUCAUACUUACUUGAUCAACGGGUUGUGAUGCGUUGCAGAUAGUCUAUGGCUAGUGCUGAAAGAGAAGCUCCCCGAGAUUGAUGCUGCUCAGCCUUGAGGACAAGGCUGAUUUGAAGAGGGAGGAACUAUUAGGAACCUUUUU